Molecule: unclassified non-coding RNA, 337 nt
Filed under: soil metagenome
Description: partial contains 5.8S ribosomal RNA, internal transcribed spacer 2, and large subunit ribosomal RNA
Rfam family: 5.8S ribosomal RNA (bases 1-120)
Source: RNAcentral
GAUGAAGAACGUAGCGAAAUGCGAUAAGUAGUGUGAAUUGCAGAAUUCAGUGAAUCAUCGAAUCUUUGAACGCACAUUGCGCCCCUUGGUAUUCCAUGGGGCAUGCCUGUUCGAGCGUCAUUUCAACCCCUCAAGCUUAGCUUGGUGUUGGGCUGCGCCAGCGUUGCUGGCGGGCCUUAAAAUCAGUGGCGGUGCCGUUUGGGCUCCAAGCGUAGUAGCAUCUCUCGCUCUGGAGACCCGGCGGUUGCUUGCCAGACAAUCACUAAAAAAACAAAAGGUUUGACCUCGGAUCAGGUAGGGAUACCCGCUGAACUUAAGAAUAUCAAUAAGCGGAGGA